UGAGCAAUCUGCCCUUCUCAUCGGAAUAAGCGUUGGAAACGACGUCUAAUGCCGAAUACGACCUCCUUUCGCAUGAUCGGAGGUGGAAAGCUCCGGCGGAGAAGGAUGAGCUCGCGGCCUAUCAGCUAGUUGGUGUGGGUAAUGGCCCACAAGGCGACGACGGGUAGCCGGCCUGGAGGAGGGUCGACCCGACCACACGUGGGACUGAGACACCGGCCCAGACCUCCGUACGGGAGCA
Molecule: ribosomal RNA, 238 nt
Filed under: uncultured bacterium
Lineage: Bacteria
Description: partial 16S ribosomal RNA
Rfam family: Bacterial small subunit ribosomal RNA
Source: RNAcentral